UACGUAGGGUGCGAGCGUUUAAUCGGAAUUACUGGGCGUAAAGCGUGCGCAGGCGGUUCGUUGUGUCGGCGGUGAAAGCCCCGGGCUUAACCUGGGAACGGCCGUUGAAACUGGCGAACUGGAGUGUGGCAGAGGGGGGUAGAAUUCCACGUGUAGCAGUGAAAUGCGUAGAGAUGUGGAGGAAUACCAAUGGCGAAGGCAGCCCCCUGGGAUAAUAUUGACGCUCAUGCACGAAAGCGUGGGGAGCAAACGAGGAUUACGAA
RNAcentral lists this ribosomal RNA (263 nucleotides) under uncultured bacterium. Its description in RNAcentral is "partial 16S ribosomal RNA". It matches the Rfam family "Bacterial small subunit ribosomal RNA", at positions 524 to 784 of the family's 1533-position model. The record is from RNAcentral.